Molecule: long non-coding RNA, 451 nt
Organism: Triticum aestivum (bread wheat)
Lineage: Eukaryota; Viridiplantae; Streptophyta; Magnoliopsida; Poales; Poaceae
Exons: 2
Source: RefSeq, a predicted model, not a curated record
UCGCUAGUGUUUCCAUUUUCUAGGGCAAAAAAUCGAUCGCUAGCGUUUUCAUCUCUCGCCUGAUGCCGUUCGUGCGCCGCCCCACGCGUUUCCCUGCUCGACAGACCGGACGCCCGGAGCUCGGACUUUCCAGAUCAUCUCGCUUUGUAUCUUGGUACAUCUCGCAUCAUCGGAGCAGCCCUCCUAUUUUGUCAUCCUGUUCUGCUCCAUCUCCGUGACUGGUUGAUGGGUGAUUUAGAAUUCCGUUUUCCACUAAGGAUCUCAAAGAUAAUAACACCAAAGCUGAAGACGUCGGAUUUGAUAGAGAAGACACCCUGUGAAGCAUACUCAGGGGCCAUGUAGCCACUAAAAUUGUAUAUGACACAUGUAAAAGUUAGUGCGUAUUGUUCAAAUGUAAGAUAAAUACUUAUGAGAUGAUUUUAUUUAUAUGAAACUUACUAUGUACCAACCA